This is a non-coding RNA of Paramuricea clavata, 532 nucleotides long. The record is from the annotation of a GenBank genome assembly. NCBI's taxonomy places the organism in Eukaryota, Metazoa, Cnidaria, Anthozoa, Malacalcyonacea, Plexauridae.
AACGUUUAAUGUACGAUAUAUAUUUAUCUAAAUGACAUGCCAGCGAGGAUCAACAAUAUAAUUAUUCGUACAUAUUUGGGUAUCUUUUGUAUGCCUUCGCUUGCUGACUUGCUCACUAAUGAGAAUAAUCCGUGAAGCCACGACGACCUCAAAAUGUACUAUACUAUGGUCUGAUGUCAAUCCGAAGUCGAAGUUCAGAAUACUGUUAUAGUUUCGUAUAUUGGAUUUAAGCGAUAGAUUCAAGUCAUUUAUGAUAGACUUUUUUGCUGUGAUGCUUUGCUAUUGCUUUUGGUUUCCACUUCUAGUUUUAUUUGUUCGAUAGUCCUAUAAUAUAUAAUAUUAAAAUGAAUAAAGUUCAAAUUCUUCAAAAUGCUGUUGUUGACAUUUGCUAUUUUUAGUAAUUUUGUCAAGGAGUGUAAGCCAAUCAGAAGCCUGCGUUUCUAUACGAACGCCACUACCAAGAAAACCUAUCAUCCGUGCAGGCCCUCUAUUCUUCGCGCCGCCCGCAACCCAGGGCCUGUUCGCAGGCUAU